This 577-nucleotide ribosomal RNA is filed under the name uncultured bacterium. RNAcentral describes it as "bacterial SSU rRNA". It matches the Rfam family "Bacterial small subunit ribosomal RNA", at positions 102 to 674 of the family's 1533-position model. The record is from RNAcentral.
ACGGGUGAGUAAAGCACAGGAAUCUGCCUUAGUGAGGGGGAUAACUCGGGGAAACUCGAGCUAAUACCGCAUAAUGUUUUCGAACCAAAGCAUGGGACUGAAAGGCCAUGCGCACUGAGAUGAGCCUGUGUCCGAUUAGCUAGUUGGUGGGGUAAAGGCCUACCAAGGCGACGAUCGGUAGCUGGUCUGAGAGGACGGACAGCCACACUGGGACUGAGACACGGCCCAGACUCCUACGGGAGGCAGCAGUGGGGAAUAUUGGACAAUGGGGGCAACCCUGAUCCAGCGAUGCCGCGUGUGUGAAGAAGGCCUGCGGGUUGUAAAGCACUUUGAGUAGGGAAGAUUGAUUGUGGUGCUAAUAGUAUCAUGAUUUGACGUUACCUACAGAACAAGCACCGGCUAACUCUGUGCCAGCAGCCGCGGUAAUACAGAGGGUGCGAGCGUUAAUCGGAAUUACUGGGCGUAAAGGGCGCGUAGGUGGUUAUUUAAGUUGACUGUGAAAGACCCGGGCUUAACCUGGGGGUGUCAGUCAAAACUGGAUAGCUAGAGUAGGGUAGAGGGAAGUGGAAUUUCCGGU